This 253-nucleotide ribosomal RNA is filed under the name uncultured bacterium. RNAcentral's name for it is "partial 16S ribosomal RNA". It matches the Rfam family "Bacterial small subunit ribosomal RNA", at positions 524 to 776 of the family's 1533-position model. The record is from RNAcentral.
GACAGAGGGUGCAAACGUUGUUCGGAUUUACUGGGCGUAAAGCGCGUGUAGGCGGCUUCGUAAGUUGGAUGUGAAAUCCCACGACUCAACCGUGGACGUGCAUCCAAAACUACGUCGCUGGAGUCUCGGAGAGGAAGGUGGAAUGCUUGGUGUAGAGGUGAAAUUCGUAGAUAUCAAGCAGAACACCUGCGGCGAAGGCGGCCUUCUGGACGAUGACUGACGCUGAGACGCGAAAGCGUGGGGAGCAAACAGG